GGGCCCGCACAAGCGGUGGAGCAUGUGGUUUAAUUCGAUGAUACGCGAGGAACCUUACCAGGGCUUAAAUGUAGUGGGACAGGUCUAGAGAUAGACCCUUCUUCGGACUCAUUACAAGGUGCUGCAUGGUUGUCGUCAGCUCGUGCCGUGAGGUGUCAGGUUAAGUCCUAUAACGAGCGCAACCCCUAUCGUUAGUUGCCAGCGGGUCAUGCCGGGAACUCUAGCGAAACUGCCGGUGCAAACCGAGAGGAAGGUGGGGAUGACGUCAAAUCAUCACGGCCCUUACGUCCUGGGCCACACACGUGCUACAAUGGCCGGUACAGAGAGCAGCCACUACGCGAGUAGGAGCGAAUCUUCAAAGCCGAUCACAGUUCGGAUCGGAGUCUGCAACUCGACUCCGUGAAGCUGGAAUC
This 413-nucleotide ribosomal RNA is filed under the name uncultured bacterium. Its description in RNAcentral is "bacterial SSU rRNA". It matches the Rfam family "Bacterial small subunit ribosomal RNA", at positions 917 to 1333 of the family's 1533-position model. The record is from RNAcentral.